AGUCCCACUCCAAGCCAUCACCCUCCUUUAGCCCCAAGCCUUCACUCCUUUAACCUCCUAGCCUUCACUCCUUUAAUAUGGCUGCAUGAGAAAGAAAUAAUGAAUUCUAAGUAAACAAAAAGCAAGCUAGAAUUAUGCUACUUUCUCUCUUUAGUUGAUAGAGAUAGAAAUUCUUCUCUAUUUUAUCUCUUCACUUUCUGAGAGUCAGGUCUCUAUUUUUAUCGGCUUGCAAGUGUCCAUUGCUCCUUCCGAAUAGGGGAUGGCUCUCCUCCUCUAAGCUGGACGUGGGUUCCUUCCCUUAAAACCUACGGGGGGAUUGCGGAUAUUUUUGUGUUUUUUCCCCUUUUGGUGUAGAUCAACGAGUUUAGAGAGAGAUUUUUGUUGGAUUUACUUGAAUUGUGCCUAGGUAACUUGUUUGGGUGUUGCUUGUGUUCUUGCAGAAGAAGGAUUGGUCAUCUCAAGGUCCUUACUGACACCUAUUGGUGUCCUUUGACGCUAUAGCUAUAAGAGAAUGAGAGGCUGGGAGCUCUGCCCUAUGAAGCACUGAAACGAUAUUGGGUAGCGUUUUCCAGUGUCUGAAACAUUUCCAUAUCGGAAAUGAGAUGAUAUGGCUCUGAGACGUUUCCAUGCCAUUUCCAGAAAUACUACAAAUCAUAAACGCAUUUCUUUAAAAAAAAAGAAAGAAAAUAGGUAGGUUAAAAUCGCAAACAAAAAUCACGUCGCACUUCACAUUCACAACUCAUCACAUUCAACAGAAGACAUAGAAGAAGAAGAAGAAGAAGAAGAAGAGGAGGAGAAGAGGACCAAAGGACUUACUUGCAAUUGACGGCAGCAACAGCAAUAGCAACGGCAGUUAGCAGUCGGCAGUCAGUGCAGAUUUAAACUCAUUAGGCGUGGUUUAGAAGCAAUGGUUAUAAGUGAUCAAUGGGCAUAGUACCGAGAAGAUGACCAUGCCAAAAUUAGAUUUGUUCAUGACAAAGUGGUGGAUGAGGAUUGGUGGGAAAAAGAUUGAUUACAUCCUUGCUUUUACUAGACCCAUUUAUGACAUGAUUAUAGUUUGUGACACAGAUAAGCUAUGCCUUCAUUUGAUUUAUGAGUUGUGGGAUUUUAUGAUUGAAAAGGUAAAGAAUGUUAUUUUUAAUCAUGAAGGAAAGUAAGUAGAUGAGUUUUCAUCUUUCUAUAAUGUGGAUUAUCGAAUUCUUGUUGAUCGUUGGGUAAAGAGCAACAUUUUCCUUCAUUGUUUAGCUCAUUCAUUAAAUCCAAGAUUUUACAAUGAAAAAUGGCUUUAAAAAGGAGAGGGUAGAGCGACUCCUCAUAUGGAUGGAGAAAUAUAAACUAAAAGAAUUAAGUGUUUUAGGAUUAUUUUUUCUAAUAAAGAUGAACAAAUUAGAGCAAAUGAUGAAUUUGUAAAUUUUUCUUUGAAAAGCAAGUUUUUUGCAGAUCCUGAUUAUAUUGGAAGUAUGUAUGCUACAGAUCUUAGGAAGUGGCGGGCAUGUUUUGGUUUCAAUACAUCUUUAUUUCAAAUGUUGGCUUUUAAAGCGCUUGGACAACCUACUUCUUCUCAUAUUGUGAAAAAAAUUGGAGUACUUAUUCAUUCAUUCAUUAAUGUAGAAGGAACAAAAUAACUCCAGAAUGUGCAAAGGACUUGGGCUUUAUCCAUAAUAAUCUUCGUCAUCUAUCAAGAAACUCCUCCCAAUAUUAUGAUGAGAAGACAAAAUUGUGGGAUGAUGGUGGGGAUCAAUUUGGGAGUAUGAAAGAUGUGAGACUUCUUGAGUUUGUCAACUUUUCAAUUGAUGAACAAGAGUUAAGUUUUUUUUUUUUAAUGAAAAUGCAACUACAAACAUGAAGAAGGAAAAAGAUAAUGAAAUAGAGAAAAUGUCAUAAAUUUCACUAUUUUUUUCAUUUUUAAUGUUUGAAUGUGUUGUAGUUUAUAUUUUUUCUUACGAGCAUGAAACUUUUAGAUAUGUAUCUUUCUAAUUGAAUUUGAAUGUUGAUUUGGAGUCUAUUUAUUGUUGAACAUCUUUCAUAAUUUGGAGAUAUAUAUAUACCU
This is a long non-coding RNA of Hevea brasiliensis (rubber tree), 2050 nucleotides long. RefSeq lists it as uncharacterized. The transcript has 3 exons. The record is from RefSeq and is a predicted model, not a curated record. Lineage: Eukaryota; Viridiplantae; Streptophyta; Magnoliopsida; Malpighiales; Euphorbiaceae.